This 1552-nucleotide ribosomal RNA is filed under the name Staphylococcus aureus. Its description in RNAcentral is "16S ribosomal RNA". It matches the Rfam family "Bacterial small subunit ribosomal RNA". Lineage: Bacteria; Bacillati; Bacillota; Bacilli; Caryophanales; Staphylococcaceae. The record is from RNAcentral.
UUUAUGGAGAGUUUGAUCCUGGCUCAGGAUGAACGCUGGCGGCGUGCCUAAUACAUGCAAGUCGAGCGAACGGACGAGAAGCUUGCUUCUCUGAUGUUAGCGGCGGACGGGUGAGUAACACGUGGAUAACCUACCUAUAAGACUGGGAUAACUUCGGGAAACCGGAGCUAAUACCGGAUAAUAUUUUGAACCGCAUGGUUCAAAAGUGAAAGACGGUCUUGCUGUCACUUAUAGAUGGAUCCGCGCUGCAUUAGCUAGUUGGUAAGGUAACGGCUUACCAAGGCAACGAUGCAUAGCCGACCUGAGAGGGUGAUCGGCCACACUGGAACUGAGACACGGUCCAGACUCCUACGGGAGGCAGCAGUAGGGAAUCUUCCGCAAUGGGCGAAAGCCUGACGGAGCAACGCCGCGUGAGUGAUGAAGGUCUUCGGAUCGUAAAACUCUGUUAUUAGGGAAGAACAUAUGUGUAAGUAACUGUGCACAUCUUGACGGUACCUAAUCAGAAAGCCACGGCUAACUACGUGCCAGCAGCCGCGGUAAUACGUAGGUGGCAAGCGUUAUCCGGAAUUAUUGGGCGUAAAGCGCGCGUAGGCGGUUUUUUAAGUCUGAUGUGAAAGCCCACGGCUCAACCGUGGAGGGUCAUUGGAAACUGGAAAACUUGAGUGCAGAAGAGGAAAGUGGAAUUCCAUGUGUAGCGGUGAAAUGCGCAGAGAUAUGGAGGAACACCAGUGGCGAAGGCGACUUUCUGGUCUGUAACUGACGCUGAUGUGCGAAAGCGUGGGGAUCAAACAGGAUUAGAUACCCUGGUAGUCCACGCCGUAAACGAUGAGUGCUAAGUGUUAGGGGGUUUCCGCCCCUUAGUGCUGCAGCUAACGCAUUAAGCACUCCGCCUGGGGAGUACGACCGCAAGGUUGAAACUCAAAGGAAUUGACGGGGACCCGCACAAGCGGUGGAGCAUGUGGUUUAAUUCGAAGCAACGCGAAGAACCUUACCAAAUCUUGACAUCCUUUGACAACUCUAGAGAUAGAGCCUUCCCCUUCGGGGGACAAAGUGACAGGUGGUGCAUGGUUGUCGUCAGCUCGUGUCGUGAGAUGUUGGGUUAAGUCCCGCAACGAGCGCAACCCUUAAGCUUAGUUGCCAUCAUUAAGUUGGGCACUCUAAGUUGACUGCCGGUGACAAACCGGAGGAAGGUGGGGAUGACGUCAAAUCAUCAUGCCCCUUAUGAUUUGGGCUACACACGUGCUACAAUGGACAAUACAAAGGGCAGCGAAACCGCGAGGUCAAGCAAAUCCCAUAAAGUUGUUCUCAGUUCGGAUUGUAGUCUGCAACUCGACUACAUGAAGCUGGAAUCGCUAGUAAUCGUAGAUCAGCAUGCUACGGUGAAUACGUUCCUGGGUCUUGUACACACCGCCCGUCACACCACGAGAGUUUGUAACACCCGAAGCCGGUGGAGUAACCUUUUAGGAGCUAGCCGUCGAAGGUGGGACAAAUGAUUGGGGUGAAGUCGUAACAAGGUAGCCGUAUCGGAAGGUGCGGCUGGAUCACCUCCUUU